AUACGGAGGGUGCAAGCGUUAUCCGGAUUCAUUGGGUUUAAAGGGUGCGCAGGCGGAUAUUUAAGUCAGUGGUGAAAUCCCGGGGCUCAACCUCGGAACUGCCAUUGAUACUGAAUAUCUGGAAUACGGUUGAAGUGGGCGGAAUGUAGCAUGUAGCGGUGAAAUGCAUAGAGAUGCUACAGAACACCGAUCGCGAAGGCAGCUCACUAAGCCGAUAUUGACGCUCAGGCACGAAGGCGUGGGGAGCGAACAGGAUUAGAAACCCUAGUAGUCC
This 274-nucleotide ribosomal RNA is filed under the name uncultured bacterium. RNAcentral describes it as "partial 16S ribosomal RNA". It matches the Rfam family "Bacterial small subunit ribosomal RNA", at positions 523 to 796 of the family's 1533-position model. The record is from RNAcentral.